This 438-nucleotide ribosomal RNA is filed under the name Enterococcus malodoratus. RNAcentral's name for it is "bacterial SSU rRNA". It matches the Rfam family "Bacterial small subunit ribosomal RNA", at positions 69 to 479 of the family's 1533-position model. The record is from RNAcentral. Lineage: Bacteria; Bacillati; Bacillota; Bacilli; Lactobacillales; Enterococcaceae.
CUUUUUCUUUCACCGGAGCUUGCUCCACCGAAAGAAAAGGAGUGGCGAACGGGUGAGUAACACGUGGGUAACCUGCCCAUCAGAAGGGGAUAACACUUGGAAACAGGUGCUAAUACCGUAUAACAGUAGAAACCGCAUGGUUUCUAUUUGAAAGGCGCUUUUGCGUCACUGAUGGAUGGACCCGCGGUGCAUUAGCUAGUUGGUGAGGUAACGGCUCACCAAGGCAACGAUGCAUAGCCGACCUGAGAGGGUGAUCGGCCACAUUGGGACUGAGACACGGCCCAAACUCCUACGGGAGGCAGCAGUAGGGAAUCUUCGGCAAUGGACGAAAGUCUGACCGAGCAACGCCGCGUGAGUGAAGAAGGUUUUCGGAUCGUAAAACUCUGUUGUUAGAGAAGAACAAGGAUGAGAGUAAAACGUUCAUCCCUUGACGGUAUC